UCAGGGAAACCGUUGGUCUACCCAAUUUUCUUUCUUUAUCAUCCUUCUAUUUUCGUUACUCUUCCUGCCACCGUGUAGGGCAAGCCUUCCAAUUUGGUGCUUUCAUUGUCCUCCCAUGGCGGAACACAGCCGCUCAGAGGAUCUUGACGCGGCCAUUAACCAGCGUGAUAUGAACGCUCGAUUAGAGAGGUUGGAGUCUUCUCUUGAUGGAAUCACUCGUGCCAUCGGAGUCUCCGGUUCCGAUUCCGACGCUCAACAGUGGAUUAUUGCAGCAGAGGUUGAGGAAAGAAAAGGGAGCAAAAGACCAUGAAAAGAAAGAAGAGGCUUACCUUUACGCCAUUAUAAUGGCGGCAUGACAUGAAGAUCCUACACAGCAGAUAGGA
Long non-coding RNA from Neltuma alba, 383 nucleotides. RefSeq lists it as uncharacterized. The transcript is spliced from 4 exons. The record is from RefSeq and is a predicted model, not a curated record. Lineage: Eukaryota; Viridiplantae; Streptophyta; Magnoliopsida; Fabales; Fabaceae.